CCCUUAGAUGUUCUGGGCCGCACGCGCGCUACACUGACGAAGUCAGCGAGCAUGUCCUACGCCGAUAGGUGCGGGGAAUCUUGUGAAACUUCGUCGUGCUGGGGAUUGAUUAUUGAAAUUAUUGAUCAUCAACGAGGAAUUCCUAGUAAGCGCAAGUCAGCAGCUUGCGUUGAUUACGUCCCUGCCCUUUGUACACACCGCCCGUCGCUACUACCGAUUGAAUGGUUUAGUGAGAUCUUCGGAUUGGUGCCACCGAGUCCAGCAAUGGGCACGGUGGAUAUCGAAAAGUCGAUCAAACUUGAUCAUUUAGAGGAAGUAAAAGUCGUAACA
This 330-nucleotide ribosomal RNA is filed under the name uncultured eukaryote. RNAcentral's name for it is "partial 18S ribosomal RNA". It matches the Rfam family "Eukaryotic small subunit ribosomal RNA", at positions 1470 to 1796 of the family's 1831-position model. The record is from RNAcentral.